Molecule: ribosomal RNA, 445 nt
Filed under: uncultured bacterium
Lineage: Bacteria
Description: partial 16S ribosomal RNA
Rfam family: Bacterial small subunit ribosomal RNA
Source: RNAcentral
GUGAGGAAUAUUGCGCAAUGGAGGCAACUCUGACGCAGCCAUGCCGCGUGCAGGAAGAAGGCGCUACGCGUUGUAAACUGCUUUUAACCGGGAAGAAACCCCAGGACGUGUCCUGGGUUGACGGUACCGGAGGAAUAAGCACCGGCUAACUUCGUGCCAGCAGCCGCGGUAAUACGAAGGGUGCAAGCGUUAUCUGGAGUCAUUGGGUUUAAAGGGUGCGUAGGCGGAGCGUUAAGUCAGUGGUGCAAUCCUGCAGCUUAACUGUAGACUUGCCAUUGAUACUGGCGCUCUUGAGUGCGCUUGAAGUGGGCGGAAUGUGUCGUGUAGCGGUGAAAUGCUUAGAUAUGGCACAGAACACCAAUUGCGAAGGCAGCUCACUAAGGCGAUACUGACGCUGAGGCACGAAAGCGUGGGGAUCGAACAGGAUUAGAAACCCUAGUAGUCC